GGUGGCAUGCCCGAGCGGCUAAAGGGGGCAGACUGUAAAUCUGCUGGCAGACGCCUACGGUGGUUCGAAUCCAUCUGCCACCA
Molecule: transfer RNA, 83 nt
Filed under: bacterium
Lineage: Bacteria
Description: tRNA-Tyr
Rfam family: tRNA
About the family: Transfer RNA (tRNA) molecules are approximately 80 nucleotides in length.
Source: RNAcentral